This 1478-nucleotide ribosomal RNA is filed under the name Bacillus licheniformis. Its description in RNAcentral is "bacterial SSU rRNA". It matches the Rfam family "Bacterial small subunit ribosomal RNA". The record is from RNAcentral. Lineage: Bacteria; Bacillati; Bacillota; Bacilli; Caryophanales; Bacillaceae.
UCAGGACGAACGCUGGCGGCGUGCCUAAUACAUGCAAGUCGAGCGGACCGACGGGAGCUUGCUCCCUUAGGUCAGCGGCGGACGGGUGAGUAACACGUGGGUAACCUGCCUGUAAGACUGGGAUAACUCCGGGAAACCGGGGCUAAUACCGGAUGCUUGAUUGAACCGCAUGGUUCAAUCAUAAAAGGUGGCUUUUAGCUACCACUUACAGAUGGACCCGCGGCGCAUUAGCUAGUUGGUGAGGUAACGGCUCACCAAGGCGACGAUGCGUAGCCGACCUGAGAGGGUGAUCGGCCACACUGGGACUGAGACACGGCCCAGACUCCUACGGGAGGCAGCAGUAGGGAAUCUUCCGCAAUGGACGAAAGUCUGACGGAGCAACGCCGCGUGAGUGAUGAAGGUUUUCGGAUCGUAAAACUCUGUUGUUAGGGAAGAACAAGUACCGUUCGAAUAGGGCGGUACCUUGACGGUACCUAACCAGAAAGCCACGGCUAACUACGUGCCAGCAGCCGCGGUAAUACGUAGGUGGCAAGCGUUGUCCGGAAUUAUUGGGCGUAAGCGCGCGCAGGCGGUUUCUUAAGUCUGAUGUGAAAGCCCCCGGCUCAACCGGGGAGGGUCAUUGGAAACUGGGGAACUUGAGUGCAGAAGAGGAGAGUGGAAUUCCACGUGUAGCGGUGAAAUGCGUAGAGAUGUGGAGGAACACCAGUGGCGAAGGCGACUCUCUGGUCUGUAACUGACGCUGAGGCGCGAAAGCGUGGGGAGCGAACAGGAUUAGAUACCCUGGUAGUCCACGCCGUAAACGAUGAGUGCUAAGUGUUAGAGGGUUUCCGCCCUUUAGUGCUGCAGCAAACGCAUUAAGCACUCCGCCUGGGGAGUACGGUCGCAAGACUGAAACUCAAAGGAAUUGACGGGGGCCCGCACAAGCGGUGGAGCAUGUGGUUUAAUUCGAAGCAACGCGAAGAACCUUACCAGGUCUUGACAUCCUCUGACAACCCUAGAGAUAGGGCUUCCCCUUCGGGGGCAGAGUGACAGGUGGUGCAUGGUUGUCGUCAGCUCGUGUCGUGAGAUGUUGGGUUAAGUCCCGCAACGAGCGCAACCCUUGAUCUUAGUUGCCAGCAUUCAGUUGGGCACUCUAAGGUGACUGCCGGUGACAAACCGGAGGAAGGUGGGGAUGACGUCAAAUCAUCAUGCCCCUUAUGACCUGGGCUACACACGUGCUACAAUGGGCAGAACAAAGGGCAGCGAAGCCGCGAGGCUAAGCCAAUCCCACAAAUCUGUUCUCAGUUCGGAUCGCAGUCUGCAACUCGACUGCGUGAAGCUGGAAUCGCUAGUAAUCGCGGAUCAGCAUGCCGCGGUGGAAUACGUUCCCGGGCCUUGUACACACCGCCCGUCACACCACGAGAGUUUGUAACACCCGAAGUCGGUGAGGUAACCUUUUGGAGCCAGCCGCCGAAAGGUGGGACAGAUGAUUGGGGUGA